UACGUAGGCAGCAAGCGUUGUUCGGAGUUACUGGGCGUAAAGGGUGUGUAGGCGGUUCUCUAAGUUUGGUGUGAAAUCUCCCGGCUCAACCGGGAGGGUGCGCCGAAAACUGGAGGACUGGAGUGCGGGAGAGGAGAGUGGAAUUCCUGGUGUAGCGGUGAAAUGCGUAGAUAUCAGGAGGAACACCGGCGGUGUAGACGGCUCUCUGGACCGUAACUGACGCUGAGACACGAAAGCGUGGGGAGCAAACAGGAUUAGAUACCCUGGUAGUCCACGCCCUAAACGAUGCACAUUUGGUGUGGGCCAUUCAGUUGGUCCGUGCCGGAGCUAACGCGUUAAAUGUGCCGCCUGGGGAGUACAGUCGCAAGGCUGAA
RNAcentral lists this ribosomal RNA (374 nucleotides) under uncultured bacterium. RNAcentral describes it as "bacterial SSU rRNA". It matches the Rfam family "Bacterial small subunit ribosomal RNA", at positions 524 to 898 of the family's 1533-position model. The record is from RNAcentral.